RNA transcript from Helianthus annuus (common sunflower), 929 nucleotides. RefSeq lists it as uncharacterized. The record is from RefSeq and is a predicted model, not a curated record. NCBI's taxonomy places the organism in Eukaryota, Viridiplantae, Streptophyta, Magnoliopsida, Asterales, Asteraceae. The transcript is spliced from 3 exons.
UUAGCGCCUUUAAUCAACUCUCUUUCUCUGCCUGAACAAAGCCCGUGGGCCAUGGCCAGCGGAACGCCUAAAUCUCCGGCGGUUCUUUUCAUCUUACUAAUUACCAUACUACCCUCCUCCACCUCUCUCCCCAUCCCCAUCCCCAACCCCAUCACCUUCCACUCCCUCUUCUCCCUCUCCCACUCCCUCCUCACGCGCGUCGCCACUCUACGCGCCGCCCGCGGUGACAUUUCCGGAUCAAUCCGAGCCAGAACUCUAGCCCACAAUAUUAAAAAACACAGCCGUGGGUUUAGUUUCUAUGGGGUCGUGUGGUCUGUUGGCUCGGACUACUUGAAAAAUUAUGCAUGGAGAGAUGUUAAAACGGCGUCGUUUGAGAUGGUGGGUGCGGUUUCUGAUAUGAACGAGUUGGUGAAAGGGUUGGGUGAGUUGGUGAGUUUGGAAUCGAAGGUGGAUCGGGUUGAGUGGGUCCGGAGGAAUUAUGAGACUUUGCUUAAGGUUUCGAAGUCGCUGGUUAAUCGUUUGCUGAGAGUGUUCAGUCAACCGGGCCCCUUGAAGGAUGCGGUUGAGAUGGUACGCACAGAAAUCGUGGAUGGCGGGUUGUUGCAGGACUGCCUUGAGUUGGGUAGUAAUGAUUUAAAGGGUGUGAUUCAGACACUAAAGGAUCUUACUUCACAGUAUACCACUAGCAACAGCAGCAAGACAGAAGAGUUAUGAGUUGGUAUCCUGACUUUGAUGUACCUUCCAUCAAAUGGUGCUUUCUCUUUAAUAAUAUCUGGGACAAUCACUGCUGAAAAACAAUCUGGUAGAUUGGCACUGUAGGAGUAUAGGUUCAAAUGAGAAUCAUUAUGAACCAAAUUCUUGGUUCUUGGAUUUAUCUGAAUGGAUGACUUAGAUCUCCCUUCUUAUGUUUGUACUAGUUACAUGUGUUU